Molecule: transfer RNA, 83 nt
Filed under: Canis lupus familiaris (dog)
Lineage: Eukaryota; Metazoa; Chordata; Mammalia; Carnivora; Canidae
Also listed under: 1 other name
Rfam family: tRNA
About the family: Transfer RNA (tRNA) molecules are approximately 80 nucleotides in length.
Source: Rfam by way of RNAcentral
GCCUGGGUGGCUCAGCGGUUGAGCGUCUGUCUUUGGCCCAGGUCGUGACUGUGGGGUCCUGGGAUCAAGUCCCACAUCAGGCU